UACGAAGGGGGCGAGCGUUAUUCGGAAUCACUGGGCGUAAAGCGUGCGUAGGCGGUUAGAUAAGUUAGAAGUGAAAGCCCAGGGCUCAACCUUGGAAUUGCUUUUAAAACUAUUUAACUAGAAUUCGGUAGAGGAUAGCGGAAUUAUCAGCGUAGCAGUGAAAUGCGUAGAUAUUGAUAGGAACACCAGUGGCGUAGGCGGCUAUCUGGACCGAAAUUGACGCUGAGGCACGAAAGUGUGGGGAGCAAACAGG
RNAcentral lists this ribosomal RNA (253 nucleotides) under uncultured bacterium. Its description in RNAcentral is "partial 16S ribosomal RNA". It matches the Rfam family "Bacterial small subunit ribosomal RNA", at positions 524 to 776 of the family's 1533-position model. The record is from RNAcentral.